GCAAUCUGCCCUUCACUCUGGGACAAGCCCUGGAAACGGGGUCUAAUACCGGAUAUGAGCCUCCACCGCAUGGUGGAGGCUGUAAAGCUCCGGCGGUGAAGGAUGAGCCCGCGGCCUAUCAGCUUGUUGGUGAGGUAAUGGCUCACCAAGGCGACGACGGGUAGCCGGCCUGAGAGGGCGACCGGCCACACUGGGACUGAGACACGGCCCAGACUCCUACGGGAGGCAGCAGUGGGGAAUAUUGCACAAUGGGCGAAAGCCUGAUGCAGCGACGCCGCGUGAGGGAUGACGGCCUUCGGGUUGUAAACCUCUUUCAGCAGGGAAGAAGCGAAAGUGACGGUACCUGCAGAAGAAGCGCCGGCUAACUACGUGCC
RNAcentral lists this ribosomal RNA (374 nucleotides) under Streptomyces coeruleofuscus. RNAcentral describes it as "bacterial SSU rRNA". It matches the Rfam family "Bacterial small subunit ribosomal RNA", at positions 121 to 509 of the family's 1533-position model. The record is from RNAcentral. Lineage: Bacteria; Bacillati; Actinomycetota; Actinomycetes; Kitasatosporales; Streptomycetaceae.